Molecule: long non-coding RNA, 7470 nt
Filed under: Lactuca sativa (garden lettuce)
Lineage: Eukaryota; Viridiplantae; Streptophyta; Magnoliopsida; Asterales; Asteraceae
Description: long non-coding RNA (LSAT_LNC003024)
Source: RNAcentral
AAACAACAAAUAAUGAGUAAUCGAUAUGGUGAUAAAUAAAAGGUGUUUUAUUUAUACUCAAAGGUUUGGGGCCAUAUGGGAUUAGUAUUAUUCUUGUGUUUCACUUUGCAUGUUUUGACUUCCUGAAUAAUUUAAUUGGUUAAGAACAGUCAAAUUAUUCGAAUGGACCACAGUCGUUCAUAUGUUGGAAGUAGGUAUGAAUGAAGACUGUCGUGAAUUGGUGUGUGGAUUGUCUAAAGUGUAUUAGACAUAAGCAAAUGUUUGCUACAACGUUCAUGAGUGCUUAUGAAUAUGAUUUGAGCAUUGGAUUAAACCCACGCUCACUUGGAUCACUUCAUGGAUUUUAUCACGAGUGAUUGGUGAGAUGAUAACAUCUUAUAUUCUUGAAACCGAGAUGUGUGAGUUGUAUCUUGCGAGUCGGUAACACAUUGAUAAUAUGUAAACGCACCAGUAACUUGGUCUUAUAAAACAUAUUGUUGUGUGUGAUUUGGUAAGUGAGUGCAAGCAAGCAUUGAUUCAAAGUUUAACCGUUCCUUUUAUCCAAAAUGGGAUGAAAGCGAUAUCUGUGGGCCCCUCGAUGAUUUAGUGGUGGCACCUAAGCGUUUGGCCAAGCCGGGACUAAUUUGAUGUGUUCAAAUGUAGUCUGUUGUCAGUCGUCAUAAAUCGGAAAUCGGGAAACAAUAUAGAAAGAAUGAUUGAAAUCCAUGUCUCACGUCUAUACGAUAUCUAGAAUGGAGGAAUAUAUGAUCCCUUAUCUAAAGGACACGCUUCUGAUAGGAUCAGAGUUGACAGCGGUUUUUUGAAAGCUACGAUUGCAUAUUAGGAUCUGAAGUCAUAUGCAGAAUAGUUAUUAGACUUAUCCAAGUGGGAGACUGUUGGAUUAGUGUCUAAGUCCAUAACUAUUUUGGUAUGUACUUGACCCGAUGGUGCAUGGUCCUUUUGGGUUGCCUUCACCAAAGCAACUUGAUAGGAUGAAUUAUGGAGAGAAAGGAUUAAAUAUGAUUUAUUAAUAUAUUAUGAGAAUAAUAUAUUAAAGGAGAAAUCAUAUUGUUUAAUUAAUAUUAGUUAAGAAUUAAUAAGAAUUAAGUUUGUGGCUAAAAGAGAUUAAUUAAACUUAAGGGACUGGAAUUGUAAUUAUAAGAUAAUUGAAAUUGGGCCAUGGAUUACCUUAUAAUAUAAGGUUGGACGAAUUCUAUGGGGAAACCCAUUAGAAAUCGUCCAAGGCUUGUUAAGGAAAGAGUCCAUGGGUUGCUUAGGGCUUAAGCAUCCAAAUUAGGGUUUCCUUGUUAGAUAACCCUAAUAGUCUCACUAUUUAAAGAUCCCUAGAGCCUCAAAAACAUGGAGAACUUGUUAAUUAGGGUUUCUACACGUUUUGGGCAACCUCUUUCUCUUCUCUUCUUCAUCCUCGUGCUCUUGGUGUUUGUCAACCAUUAGAGGAGUGACAUUUGUGACUCUAAGCUUUCUAAAGUCAUUACAAGAAGGAUUUGAGAUUGUUACUGCUACAUAACAAUCAAGGUAUGAUCUAAACCCUAAUUCAUAUGUUAUAUUGAUUAUCAUAUACUAGAUCUAGAGUUUAUAGUCUUGGAUAACUUGCAUGUACAUAGAGAAACCUAGAUCCAAGCAUUAGGGUUUUAUGAGCACAUAAGAUGUUCUUAUAGCUAAAACCCAUCAGUGGUAUCAGAGACUUGAUUGGUUUCUAUUGAAUUGAUGCCUUGUAUGUUUUUUCAAGUUGCAAAAUCGGUUUUUUGGUCACCUGCCUGAUGAACUCGGCGAGUACCACAGUGUACUCGGCGAGUCCAGUGUGGUACUCGGCGAGUUCGAGCGUCAGAUUGAGCUAUUUUCGGGAUUUCUUGCUGUUUUACUCAUGGAUUCUUACCUUAUCUAUUUUAGGUCAUUAAAAUCCGAUUUUAUACAUAUUUAUGAGUAUAUCCUUGAUUAAACAAAAGAUAAUUACCAAUUGAUUAGAUAAUAACUUUCUUAUAUGAUAAAGUUUGAUUAUUUGUAUUAAUUGGGUAAGUUAUAUUGCAAGAAAUUGAUUUUAGGUCAAAUAUGGAUAAUGAUAAAAUUAAUUGUUUAAUUUAUAUUAUUUGUUAUUUGAUCCUUGUGUUAUGAAAAGUUUCAGUUUUUCCCCCUUAGGUUUUAUAGUUUAAAUUUGAACAUAAGAGUUUUGUUUUUGAAAUUUGAAUAGUUAAACCCUAAUGUUUUGAAAAAGUUUUCAAAACUUGCCCUCAAGUUUUGGAAUUUAAAUUUUUGAUUAAAAGUUUAAUUUUGACGUAUAUUUAAAUUCUAAGCCCUAAUGUUUUAAAAUGUUUCAAAACUUGCCUUCAUGUUUUGGAAUUUAAAAGUUGAUUAAAAGUUUAAUUUAGGAAUGUUAAAUUCUAAAACCCUAGUAUUGUUUUGAAAAGUUCAUAUCAAACUCUUAUGGUUUUAUUAAUUAAUUAAGGUGUAUAAUUAAAAGAGGUUUAAUAAAUCCACAAAGUUUUGGUUUACAAUUUAAUUGAAUUAAAAGUAUAAUUGUUAAAUUUGACCACCUAGUAUUUUAAAAGUGUAAUAUACACCCUAUACUAUAUAUAACAUUAAAAGUCUAACAUUAUAUAUGUAUGAGUAAAAGCCAGUCUUACCGUUAGUAGGCCUCAUUCACGAAGCUGGUCUAUAAGGGGUGUUUAAGGAAAUUGCCUAUAAAAUGGCGAUUGAAUGGGUAUCCACUCUUACCCACCGCACUCUUGACUAGUGGAGGGUCGUUAGCCGAACGGGUAGGAUAGGACGAAACCUUCCAUUAUAAGUAUAAUGAAGUAUAAAAGUAACUAAAUGUUUUCUAAAAAUUCCCAAUCUUAGUUACUUAGGCAAAAGUGAAUUGAUGCAAUUCCAUGAAAUUACACUUUGUGCCCUUGCGAAGACGUUAGUGGAGCGUGUGUGGUUUACCGGCACACUAAAUGGUUCUAAGCAAAGGUAGCAAAGGGUGACUCAAUGUUUGUCAUAGUUCGGUGGAGCGUGUGUGGUUUACCGGCACAUCGAAUAGGUGACUGUAACAUGUGAGGGCACCAUGUAAAUUUGCAUGGUUAUUCACACCCGCUUUGUGAUCCUCGGCAUCCCAGUCACAAACUAGAGGGGCAUAUCGAGAUUUAAAAUAUGCCAUUGAAAAUUUCAAUGAAUCUUAAAGGAUCUAGGAGUUUUCAAUACUUUUAAAACUUAAUUUGUUUUUCGUUUUUCAUGGUGGAAAAUUAGUGAAUAUUCAUUCACUUACCUUCAAAUGUUCUGCAAUUUGGGUUAUGACAUCCCUCUCCCGAGUUGUAGAAUAUUGUGCUGGGUCCUAGCCUUAGUAUCUCAUUUGGGUGAUUUACUAAGGACUCAAUCAAUCAACUAACUUGAAUUUAUUUUUCUCCCGUUUUGUAGAUGUCAAAGUACGACAACUAUGGUCUUCCCAAAUCCCGUGGAACAAGCAUUCCACAUGAAGAUGAUAUUCCACGAUUCGAUCGAGGAACAAGAUAUCAUGCUUCAUUUCCUCCACCUCCUCCAAUUAUUCUCCCUAACCCACAAGAUCGAAGAAUUGAAAGGUUCAAUGUCACUAAAGCCCUAUUGGAAAUGAAACAUGAAGAUGGUAAACCCGUGUGUGCCCACGUUCUAGGAAUGAAAUCACACAUCGAUAGGUUGAUAAUGUUGGGUGCGUCAUUCCCGGAUAAGUUGGCUGUGAACUGGGUUCUGCAGUCACUCCCUGAAUCAUAUAAUGAGUUCAAAAGAAAGUAUUAUAUGAUGGAUCAUGACGAAAACCUCAUUGACCUAAUUUACAUGCUCAUUGCUGCUGAAUCAGAAAUGAUUUGGCAAAGCAAUGGAACGUAUUUGUCAGGAAAGUCAACCAACCAUGCUUCCGAGGACGUUCUAGGAGAACCGACCUGCAUUUGCUACCAAGAGAAAGGGCGUUGGAUACAAGUUUUCCCUGAGAGCCUGAAAAGUCCAGAAGAUGGGAGAGUCAAAGAGUAUGGUUGUGCUUCAGGUAAAAUCCACUAUCGAAUUCCAUUAAGUUCCUAUUCAUUGAUUCUUAAUACAUGAUGUGAUAAGAUUGCAUUUGAAUGUUUUGUAGGAUCAGUGAAAAGAAAGGAAGCUUGAUGAAAGAGCAAGAUAAGUCUAAUCACAAAGAAAUGGAUCUCGAUCGCAUGGAUUUGAAGAUAUUAGAUUUUGAGCUUAGAGAGUUAUGAUAGGGUUGUUAGGAAUAUUUGAUUAAAUAGUUUUUCAGUUGAUUUUGCAUUGUAAGGAAAAAUGUUUUCCGCUGCUUUUAUGAAUAAAAUAAAUUUUGGUUUGACUCAUUUAUUUAUUUAUUUAUUUCUUUGCAAUGAAAUCGUUAUGAAAAAUUGAUGUUCAUAUAUUUCUACAACAAGUGGAUGUGAUUCUUAAUUAUGUUGUUUAUGGAAAUGUCGAGAAUUUACCAAAUAGGGAGAGUUUCUCAUCAUCCAAGUUUCAAGUGGACAAAACCUUGGAAUCAUGCAACUUGGUUGCACGAUGAAUGAGAAAUUUCAUGUUUGGAAAUUAGACUAAUUCGUUGACAAAGUGUCGAGUAAAGGACUAGGAGAUCGAGUACACAAAGCUGUGUGUUGAUCAAGUCCACCACAAGAAUAACAAAGAUAUUCGUCAUGGUUUGCUAAAGGCUUAGUAAAUAUGAUUAUACUCAUAAGAUUAAGUGUAAUUAUGAAUUGAUUGAAAAGGUUUAAAUCAAUAGCAAAACGAAUAAAAAGAAUCAAGUAGGCAGAAAGAUAAAAGUUUCUCUAUUCUAAGAAGAAGGGAGAGUACCUUUUAUGCUUUAUGAUAUGUCUUAAUGAUUAAGAACCAUAUCUCAAUUGAUCCUCUAGGUGAAUCUUAGUACAAUUGUAUGUCUGAGAAGAGGAAUCAAGAAUUGAAGAAAUGGUUAAAUCAAAAAGUCAAUCAUACUUCAUUCCAAAACAAAUCUUAAAGUUAAGAUUAUGACAUUAAGUGACAAGUCUUAAGAAGGUUAAUGACAUUCAUCAAAUGUGGAAAGUUGUGAUGUCUUGGAUAAGACAAAGACCAACUAGGACCAAAUUUAUGAAAUGUUUUGUCUUGAUAAAAGCUACACUAACUCUUGAAUAUUUGUUUGUCGAGAAAUGUUUAUUGACAAGAGAAUCUUAUAUGUCAAGGAGUCAGUGGGAGCCUUAAUGGUCUUGAAAGGUUUCAAGAACAAAUCAAGAAUAAACCUUAUCGAUCAUCACUAGCACACAAGUUAAGGUUUACAACCUAUAGUGUAGACACUAUCUUGUUUCUAUGCCAUUCCAAUUGAGUUAAUUAUGCAUGUGAGUUCCAUGAGUUCUCACUUGAACGCAUAAAAGGCAAGCACCUUGAUCAAUGAAAAGUACAUUGAUAGGAAAGGGUGAGCUGCUUAACUACUUGGAAGACAUGGUGGGCAGCUGUGUUACCAUAAGGCAAGAAAUCUAGAUUAAGAGUUCGGUCCAUAUGAGUUUGAAUUUGUCAUAAACUUUGGUUUUAACAAAUUCACAUGGAUACGAACACAUACACCAUUAAAAUCUAAGUGUCAUAAGAUUCCCUCCUUCAUGGAAAUGACUGUGAGGAAAUGCUUUCACUAAGAGAGAUUUUAAGAAGAUAGUGAUUGUGAAAAUUGGAUUCUCGAAUUCGAUUAUGGUUACGGUAUCCCUUUCCAUGAUUCGAAUUGUGAGAUUUGGCAAUUAGUCUGAAUUGUUCAGACACACAUAUGAGCUAUCUAAGACAAAGGUGUAUAAGUUUAAGAAGCCUUGAUAAAAGAUUAUCAAAGCAUUAGGUAUUAGAAACAUGAACUUAAGAAAUUCAAUAAGUAUUGUUUUUCUAGAAGUUAAGCUGGUUUCUGAAUACAUGUCAAAGCUAGUGGGAGCAUAAGUGUUAUGUUUAUAAUAAUCAUCAUGAUAGUGGGAGCAUAAAUGUUAUGNUGAGCUAUCUAAGACAAAGGUGUAUAAGUUUAAGAAGCCUUGAUAAAAGAUUAUCAAAGCAUUAGGUAUUAGAAACAUGAACUUAAGAAAUUCAAUAAGUAUUGUUUUUCUGGAAGUUAAGCUGGUUUCUGAAUACAUGUCAAAGCUAGUGGGAGCAUAAGUGUUAUGUUUAUAAUAAUCAUCAUAGUGGGAGCAUAAAUGUUAUGAUUAUAUGAUUAUUAAAGGCAAGUAUUGCAAGUUAGCAAUAUUAAUUAUAGAAAAACAAGAGUUAUACUUUGCAAAGUUGUAAGGGUUGAAUAGUUGUUUUGCUAUAAUUAAGGGAGAGAAUAUUAUGCUUCAUUUCAAAUCUAAAGGCUUAGGUUGUGGAAUGUUAAUAAAUUUAGUCAAGGAUACAUAGUGCGUUCUUAAAUUUCGAUUAUGAUUACGACAUUCCUCUUCAUAGUUCGAAUUGUGAGAACGUAGCACAUAAAAUAUUAUGGCAGAAGAUUGAUAAAGUAUCAAAUCUUUAUGUAAUACAUUAUGCAUCAUGUCCCAUAUGAUUCGGAUAUAGGAUCAAUUGCAAAGUCUAUAAUAUUUGACCAUUCUUAAAUUUUCCAAAUGUCUGGCGAAUUUAGAGGGAAAAAGGAUAAGAAUCGGUUUUGACUAAGAUAAUUAAACAACUAUCAAAGGACAAUUCAAAGUUCGCUGAGGAUUGGUCGCUUGUGAGUAGUUGGAAGUAUGAUAUUGGAUGGACCAUAUCGACAUUAUUAUGAAUAGAUAAGAUUCUAUUAAGAAUGAGUUGUCAUAUGGAAAAUAUGGAAAUAUUUCCAUAUUGGGAGUUGGAUAUUGAGAGUAUAUGUCUGGAUUAGAAAUUUUAUGCAAAAGGAUGUUCGAAGGAAUGUACCUUGAGUGAGAGACAUCAUGUCUAUGAAAUUGUAUUGUAACAAUCACAAAUAUAGGACUUUGUAAUUUUAUUGGCAAUAGUCAUUGUGACUUUAGUGCAGUGAUAUUAUGAAAGGAUCAUUUCAUAAAAUGUUAGAAUCUCACAUAUUCCAUAAGUGGAAAGAAUUUGAUAUUCUUUCACUUGUGAAAACAAUUAGGAGUUGUGAAAUGAGUAUGAUUGGAAAUGUGUUCAUUUGAUCUAUUUCACAAAUUAAGAACCGUAGGUAAACAUUGUGUGCAUGCUGGGAGCAUGGGACAAGUGUUGUAAUAAUUCAAGUAAGAAGUUGAUUACCCGAAACAACAAAUAAUGAGUAAUCGAUAUGGUGAUAAGUAAAAGGUGUUUUAUUUAUACUCAAAGGUUUGAGGCCAUAUGGGAUUAGUAUUAUUCUUGUGUUUCACUUUGCAUGUUUUGACUUCCUGAAUAAUUUAAUUGGUUCAGAACGGUCAAAUUAUUCAAACGGGCCACAGUCGUUCAUAUGUUGGAAGUAGGUAUGAAUGAAGACUGUCGUGAAUUGGUGUGUGGAUUGUCUAAAGUGUAUUAGACAUAAGAAAAUGUUUGCUGCAAUGUUCAUGAGUGCUUAUGAAUAUGAUUUGAGUAUUGGAUUAAACCCACACUUACUUGGAU